GCCGUUGUAGCUCAGUUGGCAGAGCACAUCCAUGGUAAGGAUGAGGUCACCAGUUCAAUCCUGGUCAACGGCUCCA
This 76-nucleotide transfer RNA is filed under the name Candidatus Magasanikiibacteriota bacterium. Its description in RNAcentral is "tRNA-Thr". Lineage: Bacteria; Candidatus Magasanikiibacteriota. The record is from RNAcentral.